This 272-nucleotide unclassified non-coding RNA is filed under the name Hevea brasiliensis (rubber tree). Lineage: Eukaryota; Viridiplantae; Streptophyta; Magnoliopsida; Malpighiales; Euphorbiaceae. The record is from RNAcentral.
GCUUCUUCUUCUGUAGUGGUCUUGGACUUACAGUUCCAGAACUCCUUCCUAUUGCAGGAUAGCUUCCUUCCUUUUGUUGGCGUAAUGUUGGGUUUUGAACUGCCCUUGAUGUUCCUUCUUUGGUCUUCCUGUCUGGUGAAGGAAGAAGCCAACCAGAAUCUCUGAUAUUUUUCGCUCUAGGUGUCACAUCUUUCCAAGUUUUCUUGUCAGCUGUAUCCUCUCUGUUAUAUACAAGGUCUUUAGUGAAGAGUUCUUGAAAAUUGGGGACAUUU